AUAGUGAAAAUAAGCUUGGCGCCCCCUCGCGGCCCAAGUGCGCAUAUGCAUUUAACGUUGUUGUGCUGCGAUCUCUACAGGGGCGAUGAACAAAUCUUUGGCGAAUGUUGUGGCAUUAGGUGCUGACACGACCAACUCUCUCUGUCUGUCCCCAACAGUUUAUUUAUUUCGCAAGAAUUCCGUGGAGGAAACAUUUUUUUCCAUGUUUGAAGUCUUGCUUGGUGAUGGAAUGAGUCAUUUUCUGAAGCAAUGAGAUGGAAGGAACCUUCAUAGCAUCCAACAAACAAGGAUUUCUAUGAGGCAUUGUGUUUUCCACAUUGCAGACCUCUGUAUCACCAACUUAAAUGAGCCUCCACCUGUCCACCAUGAUUUCCCCCAAACUUAAUCCACACCUCUUCUUCAGGAAUUGCCCCAUCGUGAGUUGUGAGAAAUCCAUUCCUGUGGAAAGAUGAUGGAACAUGAACAUAAGGUCUGUGACUCUGCUCUGGACCUAGUGAAUCACUGUUGACUGUCCAUGGUUCAAGUGAGGAUUGGCAAACCUGGUCAUUUCUUGAUUACCUACAGAAUGCAAUUGCAACAUAUGCAAAAUCUUAUGCAGGAAUGGGGCUAUAGCAGUGAUGGGACACUACCUUUGACUGUGAAGAUCAGACGAUGCAAUUCCUGUUGGUCAGCCCCCCCCCCCCCCCCACCCAAGGAGCCAUGCACUGCCAGAGAUCUUGAGCCAGGUCUUCAGUGGUUAUCCAUUGAUAAGAAGAACGGAGAUAAUAAAGACAGUGAGGUAUCUUGUUGAUUUCGACGUGACCAUCUUCCUGACGCUUCUUCCAAACAAUGAAACUGGAGGCUCUUUCCACGAAUGAAUGUUUAGCUGCUUCAAGUGUGAUUCCAGCUUUUUCAAGAGCUUCUUGUUCUACUUCUACUGGCCUUUAUUGUAGUUAACAUGUCCUGUGAAUGUUUUUAGGAGGCCAGUUUUGCUACAAACACAGUAAACCUCAAGUUCACAUAUAGUUAAAAAACAGGGACUACUUGUAACAUUAUCUAGGAAAAAGUUCUACAAAUUGGACAUGGUGAAACUUUUCAUUCAUUAUGUUUUCAGUAUUUACUGAGGUACUCACUACAAAAG
Molecule: long non-coding RNA, 1120 nt
Organism: Lytechinus variegatus (green sea urchin)
Lineage: Eukaryota; Metazoa; Echinodermata; Echinoidea; Temnopleuroida; Toxopneustidae
Exons: 4
Source: RefSeq, a predicted model, not a curated record